AAUACAUGACGAUUCCCAGGUUUGCAAUUCUUUUGAACAAGCAGAAAUUGCUUCAAUCAUAACUGAUCUUGUUUUCUCCAUGCAUGACUUAUUGCAACUGCCACUACUAAAAAUAAUCAUAUGUCUCAAUGUACUCAUAUUCCCAAAAAAAAAAAAAAAAAAAAUUGGCAAAUGCACCUUAUUUGAUUGCAACUUUAAUGUUAUGAGACACUUAAGAUUCCGUAGUAAUAAUGGUGAGACAUCUUCAACCACAUCAU
Ipomoea nil (Japanese morning glory) is the source of this 257-nucleotide long non-coding RNA. RefSeq lists it as uncharacterized. The transcript has 3 exons. Lineage: Eukaryota; Viridiplantae; Streptophyta; Magnoliopsida; Solanales; Convolvulaceae. The record is from RefSeq and is a predicted model, not a curated record.